Molecule: ribosomal RNA, 3188 nt
Filed under: Triticum aestivum (bread wheat)
Lineage: Eukaryota; Viridiplantae; Streptophyta; Magnoliopsida; Poales; Poaceae
Description: partial small subunit ribosomal RNA
Source: RNAcentral
GUUUGGGAUUUUAAAUCCUGUAAAUAGGGACGGCGGCGACGACGUCGUGAGUAGAGGGUGGAGCCCUAGGUAGGGGUAGGUUAGUCGCGUACGCAGGGGUUAGGUUUAAGGAAGCUGGAGGAGACGAAGCUAGGGACUCGAGGUAUCGGUGGAGGUGUGCGGGGAGCGGGCGCGCGUGGGCUCCGGAACGGAGGAGGAACAGCGGACGAGGAGGGGCUACAACGACGGAUCGACCUCGAGGAGAUAGCGGCCGCUGAUCGUCAACUCGGGGCGAUGGGACGGAGAGACAAAGGAAGAGGAAGGGAAGGAAGGAGAAGAGACGAGGGAGUGGAGAGUGGAGAGACAGGUCCUCGUGGCUGCAAGCGUCGGCGUCGGGGCUCGCGGAGGAGAUGGAGCUGCGGUUCGGAGGAGGGACGGGAGCUCAGGCAGGUCUAGGCGGUUCAAGGCGGCAGGCGGUACCGCACCUCGAGCAGUCGCAACAGGAGCGGACGUAGGUGGAAGCGCGGCACUGGACGCGCUGGGGCGUCUGGCCGAGGGGGCAGUUCCGGGCGCAGCAGCAGGUCCUGGGGUGGCCGGUGGUUCUGGGCAACUAGACGGAACGCAGAGUGGGCCUGCAGGGGCGUAGCAGAUACGUCGGUGGACGUAGCUCGGGGCACGACGAGCAGAAGGAGUGCCUGCAGACGCAAACGGAGACGGGAACAGCUAGAGCACGUGUUCGACCCACUCUUGAGGGCUCGGAGGAGGGCGAGGUAAGCGAGAGAAAGCGACUAGCAUCAACGGCAUCAACGUGCGUAGCUGUGUUGGCUCCGGCAGGAACAAAGACAACUAGAGGCGGUCCAAGCGAGGUGGACAGACAUGUGCCGGCUGGUCCCUAGUUUAGGGGUGCCCGCGUUAAAAGAAAACUCGUUAAAAAAACGGAGUGGUUCUUGUUUGGUAACGAAGUCAGGGUGAACCUAGCGUUCGUAGAAUGGUCGGGUUGACCAGUGGAGUUGCGUGUUUGUGAUCCUACAGGAUCCUAGCUUAGGGUCCCUAGGGGUAAAGAAAAAGGGGAUCAAUAAAAAAAAGGUCAGUACGUGAGUCGGUGAACCCGGGCUAAGGUGGGAACCCGGUGACGUAUCGUAACGUUAGGCCGGGCGCAAAAAAGUUAGAGUCUAAAAAAAAGACAUAAAAGUCACGUACGUAUUAAUGUCUUUUACGGUCACGUAAUUCUACGAUUAUUGAUUUAUAGGUACGUAGGUUUACUUUGUUCAGUAUAUACGUAGAACGAGUAUAAAAGUACAAGAGAUUGUCAUACGUUGAAAGUAGGUACAAAUUUUACGAAUUUUACAACAAACCAAUUUAAACGAGUAUACUGUACGAUUUUACGAAAUAAAGUAUUGAUUAAUUGGUAUCGAGGUUUAAAUAAUUUGAAAUACACAUUUACCCCGUCUUUUUACGUAUCUAAUUGUGCCACAUGAAUGAAACGUACAAAUUGUUGGGAUUUUAAUACAAAUCCCGUCUUGUCAUGGUUUAAGUUUUAUACGUAUACUCCUAAAAGGCCUUAAAACCAAACAAUAAAGGCUGGAGUAAAUUUAACGGUUCUAUCCAUCAAAAUAAUACAAGGUGGAGAACGGUAGAAUUGGUUGUAAAUUAUAACUACUCAUCGUAUUUGCUCUCUCUUGAUUUAUUAAUUACACAACAAAGCAGUUAUACUUUGAGCAACGUAUAACUCGAGGUGAAUUGAACAUCAUAACAAACAACGUGAACGGUACGGUACGGAAAAAUUUGGUCUGUACGUAGUAUGAACUAACACGUAGUACGGUACAAAUACACUACCAACAAAUGGUACAACGAAUGAAGAAAGGUCAAAAGAAGAGAGUAAUCGAAAACAAAGCAAGGCCUCAACCCUCCUAAGCAAGCUGAUGCAGGCAAAACAGAAGAAGUACCUGAGGAAGAAGAAGGAACGCCCUAGAGUUCGUUCUACUGGUAUGGGAGCUGUACUGAAGAUAGAAACGAACGAUCAACAAAAGAGAUAGCGAUACAGCGUGAUGGAUGGUGAACAAAUAGAUUGGAGGGUUUGACGGUACUAUCGGAGAUUGGAAAAAGUUGGUAGAAUCGUUUGGCAACAAACCGAUUCAAUGGCGAAAACGAAUCGGGAAGGAUAUCGUAACGAUCAACAUCCACUUCAACUUCUAACAAGGUACAACCUUGUACCUAUACAAACCUAUAGUGUUAUAGAGAAUAAAUUAAUUACGUAGAUAUAUGAACCAUUUCCCACCUGCCGAGCCGGAAGAAGGACCACAAAACAAGGUGAGAACGACGGGAUAAAAGGCAGUAUGGCCACAAUACAAGGAACUAAAAACUCAAGGAACUCUUGCUCUAUACACGUAGAGGAUAGCCCUAAACAGCCGUGUAAGCCCGCCGAAAAGACCAGAACAAAAUGGUAACAGCUUUACAGAACAUUGGUCCUAAGACUCUGACUAGCCCAGAAAGGCCCUCUUCCUUAUAGGAAGUAAUUGGCACUCUCGAACACUACCCGAUUCAAGCUUGUGGGGACGUCCCAAAUUUGAAAGCUUUCGGCACGGGUGCCAAUACAACUUCUACCCUUAAACAAUUACAAGCCAACAUCUCUUGAACUGUGAAUUGAAUUAAUUUUACGUAGUUGGCGCACACAUCGGCACUACCAGAGAAAGACCGCCUCAGGCCCUUCACUUGUGCCAGAACACAAUACGAACUUACAUUCAUCAAAAUCCUAGUCAAGAGCUAGUGAAGAUCGAAGUGCUGGCAACGCAUCGAAGAGUAGAAUGAUAAUAAACGCAUACAAUCGGUAGUAUAAACGAAUAGCGAACGACGUCGAGGUGGAGUGAUGGAAUAGGAUAGGUAUUCGAAUUUAUCAGAACUAGAGCGCCCGCACUCUAACAACACAGGAGCACUGAGUGCCCAUGAAGGUUUAUCAACAUCCACGGCUACUAUGGUCACGUCCACUGUGUUGGCUCGAGUUCACCCUCGAGCUACUUCUAGAACUAGCAACAAUACACAGAAAAGGCCAACUAGUCAUCACCUCGGGUCAACCCAGCUAGUCCCUAGAUCGUAAACCCCAACAGAAGAAAAUAAAACCAAAGCAUCAACCUGGAACUAACAUGAGACCUACUACAUACAAAUUGAACAAUAAACACACUUCACCGCUAAUAUUCGGUUGAGAAAUAGGG